AGGGUCUGUCAACAUAAUCACCCCUAUUGCAUUAUAUUUCUUAUAAUUUUCUCUCUUUCUCAAGGUCGUUGUGUCCUGUAAACUUCUCUCCACAUGUUGGCUGGUUCUGAUGGUGUUGACAUGACCUGGGGCCUCCGGGAGCUGGAGGCAAAGCCCCCUGUGCUGGGCUCCGGCUCCGCUGUGCUCCUUGCCCUCCUCUGGUGCUGCCCUGGCUCAGGAAAGUGCAAUAUUCGCACAACGUGUUUCUCUCCCAUUGUAAAUUGUCAAAGUUCCUAACAGGCCUGGCAGGGAACACAAUUCAGAAGGAGGACUGAGUUCCUGAAGAACGUCACCAUGGGGAGUGUUCAUCUCGGGUUGCAAGAUAACACCCUUCCGGUGAAGGGCAGCACAGAUGCAACUUUGAGGAUUUGUCCCGUCACAGCAAUGUUACUUCCAAGUGUAUGUGGCAGGAUUAUGAAGUUCCCCGCGUGUUCUCUUCAAGAACAGUGAUGCCAGAGUGGACCAUCUGGUGUGUGAGGCUGCAAGGUGGUACCCAGAGCCUGAGGCAAGCUGGUGAGAUGCCUAACGGACAGAAUUUAAAGCCACACUCUGAAAACAGCAGAACAGAUGGAAACAGCCUGUUCUCCACUUCAUCUUCAGUCCUAGUAACUAAACUAAAAAAG
Molecule: long non-coding RNA, 662 nt
Filed under: Equus asinus (donkey)
Lineage: Eukaryota; Metazoa; Chordata; Mammalia; Perissodactyla; Equidae
Description: lncRNA (ENSEASG00005026171.1)
Source: RNAcentral